RNAcentral lists this ribosomal RNA (253 nucleotides) under uncultured Eubacteriales bacterium. RNAcentral describes it as "uncultured Clostridiales bacterium partial 16S ribosomal RNA". It matches the Rfam family "Bacterial small subunit ribosomal RNA", at positions 524 to 776 of the family's 1533-position model. Lineage: Bacteria; Bacillati; Bacillota; Clostridia; Eubacteriales. The record is from RNAcentral.
UACGUAGGGGGCAAGCGUUAUCCGGAAUCACUGGGUGUAAAGGGAGCGUAGACGGCUGUGCAAGCCUGAAGUGAAAGGCGGGGGCCCAACCCCCGGACUGCUUUGGGAACUGUACGGCUGGAGUGCAGGAGAGGUAAGUGGAAUUCCUAGUGUAGCGGUGAAAUGCGUAGAUAUUAGGAGGAACACCAGUGGCGAAGGCGGCUUACUAAGCCAUAACUGACACUGAAGCACGAAAGCGUGGGGAUCAAACAGG